This 109-nucleotide microRNA precursor is filed under the name Rhinopithecus bieti (black snub-nosed monkey). RNAcentral's name for it is "microRNA pbi-mir-506 precursor". Its record names the gene pbi-mir-506. The stretch from base 15 to 95 matches the Rfam family "mir-506 microRNA precursor family". Lineage: Eukaryota; Metazoa; Chordata; Mammalia; Primates; Cercopithecidae. The record is from miRBase by way of RNAcentral.
UGUCUAGUGCCUUUAUGUGUAGUGCCUUAUUCAGGAAGGUGUUACUUAAUGUAUUAACAUUUGUAAGGCACCCUUCUGAGUAGAGUAAUGUGCAACAUGGAUAUCAUUU